Molecule: ribosomal RNA, 373 nt
Filed under: uncultured bacterium
Lineage: Bacteria
Description: bacterial SSU rRNA
Rfam family: Bacterial small subunit ribosomal RNA
Source: RNAcentral
AAUCAACGCUGGCGGCGCGCUUAACACAUGCAAGUCGCACGAGAAAGGGAGCAAUCCUGAGUAAAGUGGCGUACGGGUGAGUAACACGUGGAUCAUCUACCUUUUAGUGGGGAAUACCUCCGGGAAACUGGAGACAAUACCGCAUAAGCUCGAAAGAGGAAAGCAGCAAUGCGCUGAAAGAGGAGUCCGCGGCUGAUUAGCUAGUUGGUGAGGUAAUGGCNCACCAAGGCGAAGAUCGGUAGCCGGCCUGAGAGGGCACACGGCCACACUGGCACUGAAACACGGGCCAGACUCCUACGGGAGGCAGCAGUGGGAAUCUUGCACAAUGGAGGAAACUCUGAUGCAGCGACGCCGCGUGAGCGAUGAAGCCCUU